Molecule: long non-coding RNA, 890 nt
Filed under: Homo sapiens (human)
Lineage: Eukaryota; Metazoa; Chordata; Mammalia; Primates; Hominidae
Description: HSALNT0353804
Source: RNAcentral
CCAGAGCCGCAGCCGCCGCGCAGGCAGGGCCGGGCCGGGCCGGGUGCGCGGGCACAAAGGGGCCGCUGCACAUGGCAGGCAGGCGAGCAGAUGCCAGCAGACAGCUUUUGUCGUCCAGUCUCCCAGUCAUCCGCCUGACCUGCUCCUGUCUGAACAUCCUACCGCGAGUCAAGGCAAAUGGGCUCAGCCGCUGUUCCACUCCACCCAGGCUUGGAGUGGACUCCCCGUGAGCCUGCAGAGGGGCAGGAUGCUGAGUAGCAGGCCAUGCGGGUGCGCCCGGGGUCUCACCCCAGCCCCAGGGAAGAGGCUGUUUCAUUCAGUGAACCAAGAGAUUAUUUUCCACUGGGGCUCCCAUCGAUGCUGAGUUCUGGCUACUUUUUUCCCCUGAUGCUGAAAGGUUCGAUUCUUCCAUCUAUCCAUCAACAAAUCACAUUGAAUGACGGUGCUCAGUGACCCAGGAUGCCACUGGAGACAAAACACACUAUACAUAUUUUCUGGUCUCCCUGGAAAAUUAGUGCAAACACUUUCAUCACUGCGGAGAAGGGAAAUAUGCGCGGAGCUGUGAAAAUCUGCUUUGUUUUUUGUUUUUCUAAGAGGAGAUUUCCCCCUCCUUCAAACAGUGAAAUUUAUAUUGUUCUUUGUCUGCAAAUUAACCAGUUAAGUAGAAUUCCUGUAUGUCUCUUUCACUUUCUGCAAGCCAAGGCCCCUCUUUCUCUCCACCCUGUAUUCAUACAUAGUCCAGGAUCACCCCCUGUCCCCCUCCAAUGCUGCUUGAAAUUUCAUUCCAUUUUCGUCCUGACUUGUUCAAAGUAACAUUUAAAAUAUUUUAAUUCAAAUUCUUAUCUCAUCCAUCCUGUUUAAGUUCCAUUUUAAAGAAUCUUCUUUUCUUA